This 423-nucleotide long non-coding RNA is filed under the name Ananas comosus (pineapple). Its description in RNAcentral is "long non-coding RNA (ACOM_LNC015959)". The record is from RNAcentral. Lineage: Eukaryota; Viridiplantae; Streptophyta; Magnoliopsida; Poales; Bromeliaceae.
CUCACACAUUCAAUUAUGUUUUACCACUUGAAAUUUAUGCAUCAAGUCGAGAACAUUAAGAAAAAUUCCUUUUCCAACAUUUAUUAGAGUUCCACAUUUGUUAAUUUGCAUUGAAAGUACUAAUUGAUCCUUAUACCCUAACGCAGCGUUUGGUUAGGGGAUAGGGAUAGGAAUAGGCCCUUAUCCCUCCCUUUAUAUCCAAACGUUAAUUUUUUACCCGAGAAUAGUAGUUCUCGGUUAUCCCCACCAACACCAUUUUCUAUAAAAAACUACUUAAAAUUGUUCUUAUCCUUAGGAACAACCCAAUUUUCAUCCAAACAUUAUUUUUCUUAUCCCCAUACUUGUACCUAUCCCUGUAAUAGCUAGUUCUUUCUUAUACCCGAACCAAACGGUAAAAGAAUAAUAAGUGGUCUCGAGUUUUGA